GAUGAACGCUGGCGGCGUGCCUAAUACAUGCCAGUCGAGCGAACAGACGAGGAGCUUGCUCCUCUGACGUUAGCGGCGGACGGGUGAGUAACACGUGGAUAACCUACCUAUAAGACUUGGAUAACUUCGGGAAACCGGAGUUAGUACCGGAUAAUAUAUUGAACCGCAUGGUUCAAUAGUGAAUGACGGUUUUGCUGUCACUUAUAGAUGGAUCCGCGCCGCAUGAGCUAGGUGGUGGGGUAAAGGCUUACCAAGGCAGCGGUGCGUAGCCGACGUGAGAGGGGGAUGCGGCACACGGAGACUGAGCCGCGGCCCAGACUCCUACGGGAGGCAGCAGUAGGGAAGCUUCGGAGAUGGGCGGAAGCUUGACGGAGCGGCGCCGCGUGAGUGAAGAAGGGCUGCGGAUCGUAAGACGCUGUUAUGAGUGAAGAACGAAUGUGUAAGUAACUAUGCACUGUUUGACGGUACCGAAUCAGAAAGCCACGGCUAACUACGUG
Molecule: ribosomal RNA, 497 nt
Filed under: uncultured bacterium
Lineage: Bacteria
Description: partial 16S ribosomal RNA
Rfam family: Bacterial small subunit ribosomal RNA
Source: RNAcentral